This 1236-nucleotide long non-coding RNA is filed under the name Equus asinus (donkey). RNAcentral describes it as "lncRNA (ENSEASG00005030944.1)". Lineage: Eukaryota; Metazoa; Chordata; Mammalia; Perissodactyla; Equidae. The record is from RNAcentral.
GAAGGACAUCCAGAUUUGGACUCCUCCAUCUUACACUUCCCAUGCAAGCUUUCCUGGAGGGGAAUCUGUCCUCCCUCUGUCAACUCUCUCACCCACCCUUCACUUCUCACCCUGCUGACAUGUGGCCUCUCCCUGUCUUCCUUUCCAGCAGCCUCAGUAGAUCACAUUCAACCGAUCACCAAGCCCCUUCACCUGACAAACCAAAGCACAUCUUCUGGGAUUCCUAAGGCACUUGCCCUGCCAGGGUCUCGUAAUUCCUGAAUUCUAAUCUCGUUUCACUGGUAGUUCACUUCUCCCAGGUCAUGUGAUUUAUCUCCAUCUUCCUCUGUUUAUAUGGUUUCAUGGACUUUUCUACAUCUUCGCCUAAACCCGAGGACUCUUCACGUCAUUCCCAGGUGCCCUCAGCUCUAGUGUUGCCUCUGAUUCCCUGCUCUCCUAUCAUCCCACCAACGCUCAUCCCAUCACAGACCCAUGAGUGCAGCAGUGUCUUCUCUGGCCUCCCUGUCUCCAGUGGUGAAGUUGGGGAAGGAUGGCCCCAUGUAUGCCUCCCACCCUAAUGUUCCUACUUCAGGGUAAGCUCCCUGAGCAGGGAUGAGGCUGUCUAGCACAGCCUGGCAUUCCACUGCCAACCACCAGACUCAACACCAGAUUGGAAAACAGCUCCAGAGGAAGGAUAUCGUUUGUUUGAGGUCACCCGGUUUGCGAAGAUGAAGUCAGAAUUUAGAGCCCAUGUUGUUCACCGAUGAGUUACGUCACUAACCACGUUCCAAAGUGAUGCUAGAUGGAAAGAAUGCUGGUGCUUCAGAGUCCUGGGGCAACCUUGAGAAGCUGCAGAGGAGUGGAUGACCACGAGCUGGGGCUUGGAAAAUAAUGAAACCCAAACCAUCAGGAACGGUAUCACUUGAGCAGAGCAUAGGUGCAAGUACCAUCCGUGUUAUAUGCAGAAACAUUCACCUUGACCCCAGGGGGGAUCUGGGCUGAGACUAGAUGACUGAAAUCUCUGGGCGAUGGUGAACACAGAAUUGGGGGACAGCAGAUAUGAAGACGCACUGAGCCACAUGCCAGACGCCCCAAGCGCAGAGAGAGCUUGUGAGCUUCUAGCGGUGGAGACUUGACACACUGCGGGAGAGGAAAAUGAAGUUACUGGACCCACUGAAACGGGACUCAUUGAUCCUCUAGCCCAUGGUGGGCAGUGUGCAUCAGCAUGGUCCUUCAGACGUAAACAGCACAGCCCAG